AGGGCAAUGGAAAAUGCAAUGGCAUCUAAUCAAGAAUCACAGCCAGGAAGCUAGAGUCAGAAGAAAGACCAAACUGCACCAAAGUUUCUCCUUCGUCUCCUUCCACAAAUCCAGAGGUGGGUCAAAAAGGACCUUGCUGUGAUUUAUGUCAUAGAAUGUUCUAAGAAUGAGGACACUGAAUCCUGGGAAAGCACAGCAGUUUGGCUAAGGUCACAACAGAGUUUCUUGAAUCCCUGCUUCUUUAGAAUUUGAGGGGUAGAAGUUGUCAACUGUUAAGUGGAGAUCCUUAGACCUGCAGUUAACAGGCUGUGACACUGAGCACCUGGGAACCAGGACUACCUGGAAAACUGACUGACCCUAAGUCUGGGGCAAUGAAGUACAAGUACGCGGGCCUCUCACGGCUGUGGCCUCUUCCGCUGCAGAGCACAGGCUCCGGACGCGCAGGCUCAGCGGCCAUGGCGCUGAGAUCGAUCUUCCCGGACCGGGGCACGAACCCAUGUCCCCUACAUCGGCAGGCGGACUCUCAACCACGGCGCCACCAGGGAAACCCAUUUAUUUUCUUUUAAAGUUAGGAACUUCGAUUAGUGGAUUCCAUGUUAGGUAUUUACUAAAACAGAUUUUGACAAACUACAGCCAAAUCUACCACUCCUGCCCCCCUUCUCUCAAGCACCCCUCCUAGUCUGUUUUUGUAGGACCACAAGAAAGAACAGUUUUUACAUUUUUAAAUGGUUGAGGGAAAAAAUUAAAAGAAUAUUUUGUGAUACAUAAAAAUCAUAUGUAAUUCAGCUUUCAGUGUU
This is a long non-coding RNA of Globicephala melas (long-finned pilot whale), 797 nucleotides long. RefSeq lists it as uncharacterized. NCBI's taxonomy places the organism in Eukaryota, Metazoa, Chordata, Mammalia, Artiodactyla, Delphinidae. The record is from RefSeq and is a predicted model, not a curated record.